Prunus avium (sweet cherry) is the source of this 196-nucleotide non-coding RNA. Lineage: Eukaryota; Viridiplantae; Streptophyta; Magnoliopsida; Rosales; Rosaceae. The record is from RefSeq and is a predicted model, not a curated record.
GCCAUGAUAUCGGCUUUUGAAUGUGUUCAUGAUGGAUGGGGUGUGGCUGUGCUUGUUGGAGUUCCGAACAAGGAUGCAGUCUUCAUGACUAAGCCGAUUAAUGUGCUGAAUGAAUGGACGCUUAAAGGAACAUUUCUUGGGAACUACAAACCUAGGACAGACCUUCCCUCUGUUGUGGACAUGUACAUGAACAAGG